RNAcentral lists this ribosomal RNA (280 nucleotides) under bacterium A6S_VP8_A10. RNAcentral's name for it is "partial 16S ribosomal RNA". It matches the Rfam family "Bacterial small subunit ribosomal RNA", at positions 337 to 628 of the family's 1533-position model. The record is from RNAcentral.
UCCUACGGGAGGCAGCAGUGGGGAAUCUUGGACAAUGGGGGCAACCCUGAUCCAGCCAUGCCGCGUGAGUGAUGAAAGCCUUAGGGUCGUAAAGUUCUUUCGCCUGUGAAGAUAAUGACGGUAUCAGGUAAAGAAACCCCGGCUAACUCCGUGCCAGCAGCCGCGGUAAUACAGAGGGGGUUAGCGUUGUUCGAAAUUACUGGGACUUAAAUCGCACGUAAGGCGAGAAAGAAAAGUUGGGGGGGCAAACCCGGGGAUUACACCCCGCAAACUGCCUCCC